RNAcentral lists this ribosomal RNA (494 nucleotides) under uncultured bacterium. RNAcentral's name for it is "partial 16S ribosomal RNA". It matches the Rfam family "Bacterial small subunit ribosomal RNA", at positions 28 to 507 of the family's 1533-position model. The record is from RNAcentral.
GACGAACGCUGGCGGCGCGCUUAACACAUGCAAGUCGAACGGAAAGGCCUGCUUUCCCUUGUGGAUUGCGGGUACUCGAGUGGCGAACGGGUGAGUAACACGUGAGUGAUCUGCCCCCAACUUGGGUAUAAGCCUGGGAAACUGGGUCUAAUUCCCGAUAGGACUGCAGGGUGGUGCCUGUGGUGGAAAACGAUUUUCUAGUGGUUGGGGAUGAGCUCGCGGCCUAUCAGCUUGUUGGUGGGGUAAUGGCCUACCAAGGCGGCGACGGGUAGCCGGCCUGAGAGGGUGGACGGCCACAGUGGGACUGAGAUACGGCCCAGACUGCUACGGGAGGCAGCAGUGGGGAAUAUUGCACCAUGGGCGGAAGCCUGAUGCAGCGACGCCGCGUGGGGGAUGACGGCCUUCGGGUUGUAAACUCCUUUCGACCGCGAGGAAGCCACCUGGUUGGAAGGGUGGUGACGGUAGUGGUAGAAGAAGCACCGGCUAACUACGUG